This 73-nucleotide transfer RNA is filed under the name Arachnoides sp. NO1. RNAcentral's name for it is "tRNA-Pro". It matches the Rfam family "tRNA". From Rfam's summary of the family: Transfer RNA (tRNA) molecules are approximately 80 nucleotides in length. Their secondary structure includes four short double-helical elements and three loops (D, anti-codon, and T loops). Further hydrogen bonds mediate the characteristic L-shaped molecular structure. tRNAs have two regions of fundamental functional importance: the anti-codon, which is responsible for specific mRNA codon recognition, and the 3' end, to which the tRNAs corresponding amino acid is attached (by aminoacyl-tRNA synthetases). tRNAs cope with the degeneracy of the genetic code in two manners: having more than one tRNA (with a specific anti-codon) for a particular amino acid; and 'wobble' base-pairing, i.e. permitting non-standard base-pairing at the 3rd anti-codon position. The record is from RNAcentral. Lineage: Eukaryota; Metazoa; Echinodermata; Echinoidea; Clypeasteroida; Clypeasteridae.
CAGGAGAUAGUUUAAAUAAAAGAAACGGCAGCUUUGGGAGUUGCUAGUGUAAGUGAAAAUCCUACUCACCUGA